UGGACAUGUUUUCUACACAUAUUCUUAUAAAAGCAGAUUGGCAACUUUGUUCUUGGCCAUUUUGCCGUGCCCAUCAAUAUCUUUACUUUGGUUACAAGGCAUCAGAAGAAGGGAAUUCAUUCCCAUAAUCUGGCACUUGCAGGAUAACAAGCAAAUUCUACCAGCCUACUCCUAUGUAGAGUAAGCAAAAGCCAACAUCAAGAAGUCUAGAAUUUCAAGUUAAGGAAAGGCCUUGGGAAAAAGCUUAUUAGUAAAAAAA
This 259-nucleotide unclassified non-coding RNA is filed under the name Hevea brasiliensis (rubber tree). Lineage: Eukaryota; Viridiplantae; Streptophyta; Magnoliopsida; Malpighiales; Euphorbiaceae. The record is from RNAcentral.